AUACGGAGGGUGCAAGCGUUAUCCGGAUUCAUUGGGUUUAAAGGGUGCGCAGGCGGAUAAUUAAGUCAGUGGUGAAAUCCCGGGGCUCAACCCCGGAACUGCCAUUGAUACUGAUAAUCUGGAAUACGGUUGAAGUGGGCGGAAUGUAGCAUGUAGCGGUGAAAUGCAUAGAGAUGCUACAGAACACCGAUCGCGAAGGCAGCUCACUAAACCGAUAUUGACGCUCAGGCACGAAAGCGUGGGGAGCGAACAGGAUUAGAUACCCUAGUAGUCC
RNAcentral lists this ribosomal RNA (274 nucleotides) under uncultured bacterium. RNAcentral describes it as "partial 16S ribosomal RNA". It matches the Rfam family "Bacterial small subunit ribosomal RNA", at positions 523 to 796 of the family's 1533-position model. The record is from RNAcentral.